This 947-nucleotide ribosomal RNA is filed under the name Leotiomycetes sp. A985. Its description in RNAcentral is "partial small subunit ribosomal RNA". It matches the Rfam family "Eukaryotic small subunit ribosomal RNA", at positions 172 to 748 of the family's 1831-position model. The record is from RNAcentral. Lineage: Eukaryota; Fungi; Ascomycota; Leotiomycetes.
GGCAACAUACCUGGUUGCGGGGACCUCCUGUCAGACAUACGGUACCGGGCGCAAUGGUAACACCUUGCAGCCUACUGGUCAUAAUCCGUAUGGUAGGGACAAUCCGCAGCGGAUCCGGCAAUGGCUGGACCGUUCAACGCUCGCUAAGGUAUGGGCCCUGCAAUGGCGGGGCUUAAGGUACGAGCUACUCCCACCGGAAACGGUGCCCCUGAUGAACGGCCGUGCAUGGCUGCAAGUCAGGGGAGGCACGACGACUCGCUCUCGUGCUGGGUAUUGAGGUAGGGUUCUAUUCCGGAGAGGGAGCCUGAGAAACGGCUACCACAUCCAAGGAAGGCAGCAGGCGCGCAAAUUACCCAAUCCCGACACGGGGAGGUAGUGACAAUAAAUACUGAUACAGGGCUCUUUUGGGUCUUGUAAUUGGAAUGAGUACAAUUUAAAUCCCUUAACGAGGAACAAUUGGAGGGCAAGUCUGGUGAACUCUUCAGUUCUUGCUGACGCCAGAAAUAGUAGGAUCCCACUACUAGUCGAGCACCCUUACCGUGAUAGGCGGGUGCCGGCAAGACAACCUGGAUCGGGGGAAGCUACGGGCCCAUGGCCUAUGCUAAUCCCGAGCGGAGCUUCGAGAGGAGCCCGUGUAGAGCGCGCAAAGGUGUCGGCUGCAUUGCAGCUUAAGGUACGUGCCAUACCCACACGAAAGUGUGUCUGUAACCCGAGCACCUAUCAUGCAAAGGUUAUAGAAGAUCUUGUAUAGAUCAGGAGAUAAUUAGGCCAGCAGCCGCGGUAAUUCCAGCUCCAAUAGCGUAUAUUAAAGUUGUUGCAGUUAAAAAGCUCGUAGUUGAACCUUGGGCCUGGCUGGCCGGUCCGCCUCACCGCGUGCACUGGUCCGGCCGGGCCUUUCCUUCUGGGGAGCCGCAUGCCCUUUACUGGGUGUGUCGGGGAACCAGGAC